AGGAUACAUGUCAUUUGUUCAGGGGGAAAAAGGAGAGCCGGGUCUCAUCAUGGGUCAAGAUGGGCGACCUUUGUACCUGGGGGGCCUGACAGGGAAACCGGGAGAUAUAGGACCCCCGGGCCCAGCUGGACCCCCAGGCUCUUAUGGCCCUCCAGGUCAAAAAGGAGAAAUUGGGCUUCCAGGUAGACCAGUGAGUAGUUAUUCUACUUUUAUUAUUAUUAUUUUUUUUAUUC
This is a long non-coding RNA of Hippocampus comes (tiger tail seahorse), 233 nucleotides long. RefSeq lists it as uncharacterized. The transcript is spliced from 3 exons. The record is from RefSeq and is a predicted model, not a curated record. Lineage: Eukaryota; Metazoa; Chordata; Actinopteri; Syngnathiformes; Syngnathidae.